This 880-nucleotide ribosomal RNA is filed under the name uncultured Sphingobacteriia bacterium. RNAcentral describes it as "bacterial SSU rRNA". It matches the Rfam family "Bacterial small subunit ribosomal RNA", at positions 58 to 936 of the family's 1533-position model. Lineage: Bacteria; Pseudomonadati; Bacteroidota; Sphingobacteriia. The record is from RNAcentral.
CAAGUCGUGGGGCAGCAGGUGUAGCAAUACAUGCUGGCGACCGGCAAACGGGUGCGGAACACGUACGCAACCUUCCUUUAACUGGAGAAUAGCCCCUCGAAAGAGGGAUUAAUACUCCGUAACAUCCCGAUACAGCAUUGUGAUGGGAUUAUAGCUCCGGCGGUUAAAGAUGGGCGUGCGCCUGAUUAGGUAGUUGGCGGGGUAACGGCCCACCAAGCCUGCGAUCAGUAACUGGUGUGAGAGCACGACCAGUCACACGGGCACUGAGACACGGGCCCGACUCCUACGGGAGGCAGCAGUAAGGAAUAUUGGUCAAUGGACGCAAGUCUGAACCAGCCAUGCCGCGUGGAGGAUUAAGGCCCUCUGGGUUGUAAACUCCUUUUAUCUGGGAAGAAAUGUACUUUUUCUUGAGUACUUGACGGUACCAGAGGAAUAAGCACCGGCUAACUCCGUGCCAGCAGCCGCGGUAAUACGGAGGGUGCAAGCGUUAUCCGGAUUCACUGGGUUUAAAGGGUGCGUAGGUGGGCAGGUAAGUCCGUGGUGAAAUCUCUGAGCUUAACUCAGAAACUGCCGUGGAUACUAUUUGUCUUGAAUAUUGUGGAGGUGAGCGGAAUAUGUCAUGUAGCGGUGAAAUGCUUAGAUAUGACAUAGAACACCAAUUGCGAAGGCAGCUCACUACACAAUUAUUGACGCUGAGGCACGAAAGCGUGGGGAUCAAACAGGAUUAGAUACCCUGGUAGUCCACGCCCUAAACGAUGAUUACUCGACAUCAGCGAUACACUGUUGGUGUCUGAGCGAAAGCAUUAAGUAAUCCACCUGGGAAGUACGUUCGCAAGAAUGAAACUCAAAGGAAUUGACGGGGGUCCGCACAAGCGGUGGA